RNAcentral lists this ribosomal RNA (491 nucleotides) under uncultured bacterium. Its description in RNAcentral is "partial 16S ribosomal RNA". It matches the Rfam family "Bacterial small subunit ribosomal RNA", at positions 29 to 507 of the family's 1533-position model. The record is from RNAcentral.
AGUGAACGCUGGCGGUAGGCCUAACACAUGCAAGUCGAACGGCAGCACAGUAAGAGCUUGCUCUUACGGGUGGCGAGUGGCGGACGGGUGAGGCAUACAUCGGAAUCUACUUUUUCGUGGGGGAUAACGUAGGGAAACUUACGCUAAUACAGCAUACGACGUACGGGUGAAAGCAGGGGAUCUUCGGACCUUGCGCGAUUGAAUGAGCCGAUGUCGGAUUAGAUAGUUGGCGGGGUAAAGGCCCACCAAGGCGACGAUCCGUAGCUGGUCUGAGAGGAUGAUCAGCCACACUGGAACUGAGACACGUUCCAGACUCCUACGGGAGGCAGCAGUGGGGAAUAUCGGACAAUGGGCGCAAGCCUAAGCCAGCCAGACCGCGUGGGUGAAGAAGGCCUUCGGGUUGUAAAGCCCUUUUGUUGGGAAAGAAAAGCAUAGGUUAAUACCCCGCUGUUCUGACGGUACCCAAAGAAUAAGCACCGGCUAACUUCGUG